Podarcis muralis (Common wall lizard) is the source of this 591-nucleotide non-coding RNA. NCBI's taxonomy places the organism in Eukaryota, Metazoa, Chordata, Lepidosauria, Squamata, Lacertidae. The record is from RefSeq and is a predicted model, not a curated record.
UUCAACAACAACAAAAAAAAUCUGUUAGCUAUCAAAUUCCCUGGGAUCUCCAUCUGCACCUUACUCCACCAUCCCUAACUGAAUUGGGGGAGGGAGCAAAAAGGGAGGACAGAUUUUUUUCUGCACAAAGAUCUUUCUUUGUAAAAAAAGAAAAAAAGGGGGGGAGAAGGCAAAGAGUCUUGCUUGUCUAACCCCAAUGUUCUCUUUUGUCUGGAUCCCCCUUUGAACCCAUCGCCACCACAUUCAGUUAACUCUAUCGCGGCCGCCACAGGCAGAAAGUGCAUUUCCACCACUUUCUCUCGGGUGAGCUCUGUCUUUCUGACUUAGGGGGAUGGAUAUUCCUGGAUGGAAUAUAAUGGUUUGGCCGGCUCUUUAAGAAACCUUAUCCCCCACGUCACCUCUCUCCCCGAAAGGCCAAUGGCAGAAGAAAUGGGGAAACCCUGGGAUUGUGGUUUUCUUUUCGCCCUCUUGCAGAAGGAGGAGGAGCAGGAGAAGAAGAAGAAGAUGGAGAAGAAGAAGAACGGUGCAACUUACGUAUAUCCUCAUCCUGACAUUUGACAACUGCUAAUAAAAUGACUUGCGUGGCUGCUA